RNAcentral lists this ribosomal RNA (253 nucleotides) under uncultured bacterium. RNAcentral's name for it is "partial 16S ribosomal RNA". It matches the Rfam family "Bacterial small subunit ribosomal RNA", at positions 524 to 776 of the family's 1533-position model. The record is from RNAcentral.
UACGUAGGGUGCGAGCGUUGUCCGGAAUUAUUGGGCGUAAAGAGCUCGUAGGCGGUUUGUCACGUCUGCUGUGAAAUCCCGAGGCUCAACCUCCAGCCUGCAGUGGGUACGGGCAGACUAGAGUGCGGUAGGGGAGAAUGGAACUCCUGGUGUAGCGGUGGAAUGCGCAGAUAUCAGGAAGAACACCGAUGGCGAAGGCAGUUCUCUGGGCCGUAACUGACGCUGAGGAGCGAAAGCGUGGGGAGCGAACAGG